Non-coding RNA from Oceanobacillus oncorhynchi, 86 nucleotides. The record is from Rfam. Lineage: Bacteria; Bacillati; Bacillota; Bacilli; Caryophanales; Bacillaceae.
UAACUGAACAUGCGAAUGUUCACUGAACUAUCAGAAGUCAGCCGGGGGCCGUAGUACAAGAUGCUUCUAUAAUAUCUGGGAAGGCU